GGGCGAAAGCCUGAUCCAGCAAUGCCGCGUGAGUGAUGAAGGCCUUAGGGUCGUAAAGCUCUUUUACCCGGGAUGAUAAUGACAGUACCGGGAGAAUAAGCCCCGGCUAACUCCGUGCCAGCAGCCGCGGUAAUACGGAGGGGGCUAGCGUUGUUCGGAAUUACUGGGCGUAAAGCGCACGUAGGCGGCUUUGUAAGUUAGAGGUGAAAGCCCGGGGCUCAACUCCGGAAUUGCCUUUAAGACUGCAUCGCUAGAAUUGUGGAGAGGUAAGUGGAAUUCCGAGUGUAGAGGUGAAAUUCGUAGAUAUCGGGAGGAACACCUGUGGCGAAGGCGGCCCCCUGGUUGGAUACUGACGCUGAUACGCGAAAGCGUGGGGAGCAAACAGGAUUAGAUACCCUGGUAGUCCACGCUGUAAACGAUGGGCACUAGGUGUCCGGGGUAUUGACCCCCUGGGUGCCGCAGCUAACGCAUUAAGUGCCCCGCCUGGGGAGUACGGUCGCAAGAUUA
This 507-nucleotide ribosomal RNA is filed under the name uncultured Pseudomonadota bacterium. RNAcentral describes it as "bacterial SSU rRNA". It matches the Rfam family "Bacterial small subunit ribosomal RNA", at positions 373 to 896 of the family's 1533-position model. The record is from RNAcentral. Lineage: Bacteria; Pseudomonadati; Pseudomonadota.